CCCUACGGGAGGCAGCAGUGGGGAAUAUUGGACAAUGGGCGAAAGCCUGAUCCAGCCAUGCCGCGUGAGUGAUGAAGGCCUUAGGGUUGUAAAGCUCUUUUACCAGGGAAGAUAAUGACUGUACCUGGAGAAUAAGCCCCGGCUAACUUCGUGCCAGCAGCCGCGGUAAUACGAAGGGGGCUAGCGUUGUUCGGAAUCACUGGGCGUAAAGCGCACGUAGGCGGAUUUUUAAGUCAGGGGUGAAAUCCCGAGGCUCAACCUCGGAACUGCCUUUGAUACUGGGAAUCUUGAGUAUGGUAGAGGUCGGUGGAACAGCAAGUGUAGAGGUGAAAUUCGUAGAUAUUUGCUAGAACACCAGUGGCGAAGGCGGCCGACUGGACCAUAACUGACGCUGAGGUGCGAAAGCGUGGGGAGCAAACAGGAUUAGAAACCCCUGUAGUCC
Molecule: ribosomal RNA, 442 nt
Filed under: uncultured bacterium
Lineage: Bacteria
Description: bacterial SSU rRNA
Rfam family: Bacterial small subunit ribosomal RNA
Source: RNAcentral